Molecule: ribosomal RNA, 465 nt
Filed under: uncultured bacterium
Lineage: Bacteria
Description: partial 16S ribosomal RNA
Rfam family: Bacterial small subunit ribosomal RNA
Source: RNAcentral
GGGGGGGGGGGGGGGGGGGGGGGGGGGGGGCGGGGCGGAGGGAGGGGCGCCGUGGGGGGUGCGCGGGUGGCGAACGGGGGGGUAACGCGUGAGUAACCUGCCCUUGCCUUCGGGAUAGCUUCAGGGACCUGGGGCUAAUGCCGGAUAGUGAUCCUUGCUGCAUGGUGGGGGUUGGACAGCUUCGGCGGUUUUGGAUGGACUCGCGGCUUGUCCGCUUGUUGGUGGGGUAGUGGCUUACCAAGGCGUUGACGGGUCGCCGGCCUGAGAGGGCGACCGGCCACAUUGGGACUGAGAUACGGCCCAGACUCCGACGGGAGGCAGCAGUGGGGAAUAUUGCACAAUGGGCGGAAGCCUGAUGCAGCAACGCCGCGGGCGGGAUGACGGCCUUCGGGUUGUAAACCGCUUUCAGCAGGGGCGAAGCUUGUGGUGACGGUACCUGCAGAAGAAGCACCGGCUAACUACGUG